GACGAACGCUGGCGGCGUGCUUAACACAUGCAAGUCGAACGGAAAGGCCCUGCUUUUGUGGGGUGCUCGAGUGGCGAACGGGUGAGUAACACGUGAGUAACCUGCCCUUGACUUUGGGAUAACUUCAGGAAACUGGGGCUAAUACCGGAUAGGAGCUCCUGCUGCAUGGGGGGGGUUGGAAAGUUUCGGCGGUUGGGGAUGGACUCGCGGCUUAUCAGCUUGUUGGUGGGGUAGUGGCUUACCAAGGCUUUGGCGGGUAGCCGGCUCGGGAGGGUGACCAGCCACAUUGGGACUGAGAUACGGCGCAGACUCCUACGGGAGGCAGCAGUGGGGAAUAUUGCACAAUGGGCGGAAGCCUGAUGCAGCAACGCCGCGUGCGGGAUGACGGCCUUCGGGUUGUAAACCGCUUUCGCCUGUGACGAAGCGUGAGUGACGGUAAUGGGUAAAGAAGCACCGGCUAACUACGUG
Molecule: ribosomal RNA, 468 nt
Filed under: uncultured bacterium
Lineage: Bacteria
Description: partial 16S ribosomal RNA
Rfam family: Bacterial small subunit ribosomal RNA
Source: RNAcentral